CGGAAAUAUUGAACAUGUCUAAUAUUUACGGUUUGAGAUCAGUUCGGCCAGGAUGGACUUCUGAGCCGAUCGGGGGAUUUAAAAAACUGGAAAGAUAAUCUUUAGAACCAUCAAAAAAUUCGGGCUUUGCUUACGAUCGAUGGGAGGGGGGAAUCGGGACAGAAAUCAGCUUGAUUCUCAUGCGGCGUGUACCCGGCAUUAGCCAUGUUCCACACACAUACGUAACGUUAUCUGACCUGAAGUGUUUUAUCCAUCGACUCCUGGUCUUUCAGAGAGAGAGACGUUACUACGAGACUUUUGGGUGUGUCGUCUUUCUAAUUACGUAUUUUCACAGUCUGAUACGACUUUCUUGCAAUAUGAUGUUUUAAAUUGACAAACAUCAUGUGUGUGAUUCAUGGUGCAAUUCAAACAAAAUGAUCUGUCUCCCGCCAUUGACAACCGUUCAUAUUUUUUAUCCGAAAUAAGGUCCAAUGGUGGUCCACCAGAAAGAAGCGGGACUUGGCCUCUCUAUAUCCGUCAUGCUAGUUGACCAUGGCCAGACGUGUAGAUAGAGCUGACUGUUUUUUGUUUUUGUUUUGUACAUUUUAAUUUGAGGACUCUCUCUCCCCCUUUCUCUCUCCGUCUCUGUCAGUCUGUCACAUUUCGGUACUCCGUUUGGUGCAUGUAUGGGUGUUUUCUUUACACGGUGAGGGUCACAAGUCUGCCACGAAAUUGCAUUACCUGUCGCAAGUUUUAUUACAAGCAAUAAGUGUAGCAUCUAUUUUAAGGCCCGCCUGCCCCAGUCCUGAUACCACCAAUCAUUUAUCAAUGUCUCAACGUCUGUCUGUCUGUCUGUCCUUUUUCUUUUUUUUUUUUGGCCCCCGUUGGACAAUGUUACUGUGUGACACCACGCCACCUCUUGUCAACUUUUAUCGCAGAUAUUCUGUGAAACUGAACGCUGACAUGACAGAAUAUCAGAGCAACACUGUAAGACAUGAUUUCAUGGAGUAACGCCGUUUCUAAAUCACAAUACUCUCCUUUUUUAUUUACUAUAAAAUCCAAGGAUACUGUGUCUUUAGCCACAUUGGAGCUGAUUUUUUUUAUCCUUUAUCAUUAUUAUUAUUAUUAUUAUUAUUAAUUAUUUUACUGCAUUUAUAGAGUAAAACUUUUGAAAGGUGCACGGGACAACCCAAAUGUGUAAGAGAUGGUGUCCAUAUGAGGACAUGAAUGUGCCAUUCACUAUUUCUAGUGCUUACUGAUGACGUGUUUGUUUCAUCUCUUUUUCCUUUGCCUUUUUCUCCUGCCAAUGUCUAAUCCUUAAAAUGAGAAACUGUAUUUUCCCUGAGGUUUUACACGGAUAUAAGGGGAACUGUCACUUUAUUCUAAAAAAUACUUUUGUUUCAACAUUUCUUUCAGUUCAGAGUUUGUCUCACUAAAAGUACAAUCAACCUGAGAGGGGUAUGUUGGGAGCUGAGAGACUGAUGUCCAAAUACUGUGGCGAGAUCACACGAUACGAUGUCUAACAGCCACCCACAGUGGGGUUUGCGGGACAGGCUUGGCUCUCGAAAACAACCUUUUGUCUUUCCAAAGGAAUCCAAGGUGAUAGGACGUCAAGUUGUAAAAUGAUGCUUUGUGUUUUAGCAUCUACAACGUGAAUAUUACAAUGUUACAUGCAUCAGAUUGAGAACUCACAAGGCAAUACGGUGUGCAUGCAAUCACCACGGUUCACCCUUAAUGUCACAUCUGUGACUCCCUUCCAACAGCAACAGGAUUUCUGACUUAAAGGGGCACUCCACUGAUUUAAUAUUGUCCUUCCAUAAAGUUGGAGACUUGCAAUAACAUGAAUCCGGGGAAGUACCGGAGGUAACCAAGUCGCCAUUACUGCGCUGGCGGCUCCCCGCAAUAUGCGUGCGUUUGAAUGCAAGCUGUCCUAAGCAGUGUACAAUUUUCUACUUUUACUUUUACUCUCUGUGUAACGUUACUUUUGACAACGAUGUAUAGGAGUUCAGGAAGAACCUGAGCAGUUCUCAGCUGCCUAACGUUAGCCUGACAUGGUGAAACAAGCAAUGUUAGCUAGGUUAAAACUGCUUAGCUAGCGUAGCUAACGUUAGCCUGACAUGGUGAAACAAGUAACGUUAGCUAAGUUAAAACUGCUUAGCUAGCGUAGCUAACGUUAGCCUGACAUGCUGAAACAAGUAACGUCAGCUAAGUUAACACUGCUUAGCUAGCGUUAGCUAACAUUAAAGGGCUAAAGGCACUGUCUAGGGUAAUUUACAUAAGUUACUAUGAGCAACCACGGACGCUUUCGGCCUAAAGUCAGCAGUUAACACGGUUAGCAGACAAUAGUGUCACUACGACUUGCCACCGCAGUAAUGGCGGCGCUCCUGGAUGGCGGAACAUACAAUACAGUCGCCGGAUUGGUCCAUAGGCCUUUUCUGAAAAAAUAAUUGUGUAUAUUCGAAUCAACAAAGGCUGAAAUAUCCUGACUGUUAAUCCUACAAUUAUCCAUAAUUCAACUCCAUAGCAUGUUUUCAAUAAACGCUCCCUGCCUGAUAAAUCCCAGUUUAAUACUACAUUUCUGUGAUUGUCACGUGUAAAAUCGAUGGAGUGCCCCUUUAAAUAAGGAUCAGGAGAAGCAGCUAAGGAGUUACCGUCAUGUCUUUCUUGUCACCCGGGAUCCCGGCGAAAGGUUUGUUAAUCAGUGGCUGUUGGAUCUCAUACAACAUGUUCAAGGGCUUGGAUGUUUGAAGAUGAGAAGUCACAGAUUUGAGAAAAUGAUUUUCACCCCAAUUUCUUCUCUCAAUUGCUUUGGAUUGGGUCAGAUUUGUUUAAAAAAAAAAAUACUGUGAUGAGAAAAAUGAAUGGGUUAAUCACGGUCAGGUCUGUUUCAUGCUCUCUAUCUACUGUUCUCAUCCACUUUUUUUAAAUGGAAACACCCAACCAAGAGAGGCUCCCUGUUACCGAGCGUUUACACAGCAUCGAUUGCACUUUAAGACAGAAACCCGCAGAGCAAUCCAACAUACUCUGACAGCAGAGCCUCUGUCGCCAACAGCGUGACUUUCUCACCAAAGGAUUCAACUCGGCAGUCUCCUGCUAAACAUAAUCACUCUCAACAAAGUCGCCUUUCUUAUUUUUGUAUCAUUUUGUCGAGAGAUCGAACAAAAGGAAAGAUGUCUGUCUCUAUAUUCGGUCCUUUGGACGUGAUGGCAGGUGAAACGUUUGGAUCCAGAAAACGUGUAUCUCUUUGUGAAGCUAUGUGGUUUGUGCCUUGUUCCGAAGUUGCAUUUAAUAUAAAGAUGACUAGUAAUAAUAUCUAGGGACUGUCAUUAUGAUCACAUGCAGUUGUUAUUUAGUUUGGAUUUGUUUUUUUUUCCAUCAUAUUUAUUUGAAGGGAGAAUUUAACCUUGGUACUGUUCCCCACCAAGAAAACAUCUUUGCACCAAGAUCUUCUUUGUUUUUUUUUUGUUUUUUUUACAUAAAUGUGAUUUAUUUCCAUACAGUGUGAGGUUUUCUAACAGCUCAGAAGUACAAUCAAGCCUUUUGAGACACGAGGCCUGUAAGGGUUCCGAGGUGAUCUUCGCUCUGAGAUGAUUUUUUCUAAAUCUAAAGCCCAGAUGAGUCUGACUGCAGUGUUCUGUGAUGCCAUUUUAAAUGUCACAGAGCCUGCGUGUGUUCAGCAGCUUUACACACGCUUGGAAAUCCGUUUUUUGUCCUCUGCAGUGAGCUCUGCUCUGUGUCGAUGUCAGGUUGCUGAUGGAAACAUUUAUCUUUGUCCGUAAACCCAGUUUUGUGCCGAGGGGAACUGAAAGAAAUUGCGUGGAAUGAAUUUGGCUGAAGCAAGUUUCAUGGAUGGGUUUCCAGACUUAUUCUUUUAUCAUCUGCAUUGUACCAUAGCCUACUGUUCUCAUGUUAAUUAGUCUUUUCUUACAUGCUAACAUAUUGUUUUUGUUUGAGCAAAUUAAAUAAAAAUUGCAAUACAAGA
Long non-coding RNA from Sebastes umbrosus (honeycomb rockfish), 3961 nucleotides. RefSeq lists it as uncharacterized. The record is from RefSeq and is a predicted model, not a curated record. The transcript has 2 exons. NCBI's taxonomy places the organism in Eukaryota, Metazoa, Chordata, Actinopteri, Perciformes, Sebastidae.